GACGGUAACAGCCCGGUAGUUGAAAUGGCUUUCCCUCCAGAGUGGAUCCUGAGUACGGCGGAACACGUGAAAUUCCGUCGGAAUCCGGGAGGACCAUCUCCCAAGGCUAAAUACUCCCUAGUGACCGAUAGUGAACCAGUACCGUGAGGGAAAGGUGAAAAGCACCCCGGAAGGGGAGUGAAACAGUUCCUGAAACCGUGUGCCUACAAGUAGUUAGAGCCCGUUAAUGGGUGAUAGCGUGCCUUUUGUAGAAUGAACCGGCGAGUUACGAUUUGUUGCAAGGUUAAGCGGAAAAAGCGGAGCCGUAGCGAAAGCGAGUCUGAAUAGGGCGCAUAAGUAACAGGUCGUAGACCCGAAACCAGGUGAUCUACCCAUGUCCAGGAUGAAGGUAAGGUAAUACUUACUGGAGGUCCGAACCCACGCACGUUGAAAAGUGCGGGGAUGAGGUGUGGGUAGCGGAGAAAUUCCAAUCGAACUUGGAGAUAGCUGGUUCUCUCCGAAAUAGCUUUAGGGCUAGCCUCGAGGUAAAGAGUCAUGGAGGUAGAGCACUGUUUGGACUAGGGGCCCUUCUCGGGUUACCGAAUUCAGAUAAACUCCGAAUGCCAUGUACUUAUACUCGGGAGUCAGACUGCGAGUGAUAAGAUCCGUAGUCGAAAGGGAAACAGCCCAGACCACCAGUUAAGGUCCCCAAAUAUAUGUUAAGUGGAAAAGGAUGUGGGGUUGCUUAGACAACCAGGAUGUUGGCUUAGAAGCAGCCACCAUUGAAAGAGUGCGUAAUAGCUCACUGGUCGAGUGACCCCGCGCCGAAAAUGUACCGGGGCUAAACAUAUUACCGAAACUGUGGAUGAACCUCUUUAGAGGUUCGUGGUAGGAGAGCGUUCUAAGGGCGGUGAAGUCAGACCGGAAGGACUGGUGGAGCGCUUAGAAGUGAGAAUGCCGGUAUGAGUAGCGAAAGAAGGGUGAGAAUCCCUUCCACCGAAUAUCUAAGGUUUCCUGAGGAAGGCUCGUCCGCUCAGGGUUAGUCGGGACCUAAGCCGAGGCCGAUAGGCGUAGGCGAUGGACAACAGGUAGAGAUUCCUGUACCAGUGCUAAUUGUUUAACCGAUGGGGUGACACAGAAGGAUAGGGAAUCGCACGAAUGGAAAUGUGCGUCCAAGCAGUGAGUGUGAGAAGUAGGCAAAUCCGCUUCUCGCGAAGCAUGAGCUGUGAUGGGGAAGGAAAUUAAGUACGGAAGUUCCUGAUUUCACGCUGUCAAGAAAAGCCUCUAGGAAGAGUAGUACUGCCCGUACCGCAAACCGACACAGGUAGAUGAGGAGAGAAUCCUAAGGUGAGCGAGAGAACUCUCGUUAAGGAACUCGGCAAAAUGACCCCGUAACUUCGGGAGAAGGGGUGCUCUAUUAGGGUGCAAGCCCGAGAGAGCCGCAGUGAAUAGGCCCAGGCGACUGUUUAGCAAAAACACAGGUCUCUGCAAAACCGUAAGGUGACGUAUAGGGGCUGACGCCUGCCCGGUGCUGGAAGGUUAAGAGGAGUGCUUAGCUUCGGCGAAGGUACGAAUUGAAGCCCCAGUAAACGGCGGCCGUAACUAUAACGGUCCUAAGGUAGCGAAAUUCCUUGUCGGGUAAGUUCCGACCCGCACGAAAGGCGCAACGAUCUGGGCACUGUCUCAACGAGAGACUCGGUGAAAUUAUAGUACCUGUGAAGAUGCAGGUUACCCGCGACAGGACGGAAAGACCCCGUGGAGCUUUACUGCAACCUGAUAUGGAAUGUUUGUACCGCUUGUACAGGAUAGGUAGGAGCCGAAGAGACGUGUGCGCUAGCAUACGAGGAGGCAAUGGUGGGAUACUACCCUGGCUGUAUGACCAUUCUAACCCGCCACGCUUAGCGCGUGGGGAGACAGUGUCAGGUGGGCAGUUUGACUGGGGCGGUCGCCUCCUAAAGAGUAACGGAGGCGCCCAAAGGUUCCCUCAGAAUGGAUGGAAAUCAUUCG
RNAcentral lists this ribosomal RNA (1986 nucleotides) under Listeria monocytogenes. Its description in RNAcentral is "partial 23S ribosomal RNA". It matches the Rfam family "Bacterial large subunit ribosomal RNA", at positions 360 to 2344 of the family's 2925-position model. The record is from RNAcentral. Lineage: Bacteria; Bacillati; Bacillota; Bacilli; Caryophanales; Listeriaceae.